This 874-nucleotide ribosomal RNA is filed under the name uncultured bacterium. RNAcentral describes it as "bacterial SSU rRNA". It matches the Rfam family "Bacterial small subunit ribosomal RNA", at positions 14 to 916 of the family's 1533-position model. The record is from RNAcentral.
UGAUUCUGGCUCAGGACGAACGCUGGCGGUGUGCUUCACACAUGCAAGUCGAACGGGGUAGCAAUACCCAGUGGCGGACGGGUGAGUAACGCGUAAAAAUCUGCCUUGAGAUGGGGGAUAACAGUCCGAAAGGAUUGCUAAUACCGCAUAUGUAUGUACCCGGACACGGGUGUAUAUGAAAGGAGUAAUCCGUCUUAAGAUGAGUCUGCGUCCGAUUAGCUAGUUGGUAGGGUAAAGGCCUACCAAGGCGACGAUCGGUAGCUGGUCUGAGAGGAUGAUCAGCCACAAUGGGACUGAGACACGGCCCAUACUCCUACGGGAGGCAGCAGUGGGGAAUUUUGUGCAAUGGGGGAAACCCUGACACAGCGACACCGCGUGAACGAAGAAGCCCUUUGGGGUGUAAAGUUCUGUCGGCUGGAACGAAAAAAAUGACGGUACCAGCAAAGGAAGCAUCGGCUAACUACGUGCCAGCAGCCGCGGUAAGACGUACGAUGCAAGCGUUGUCCGGAUUUAUUGGGCGUAAAGAGUUCGUAGGCGGUUCGUUAAGUCUGAUGUUAAAGACUGGGGCUCAACCCCGGGAGUGCAUUGGAUACUGGCGGACUGGAGUGUGGUAGAGGCUAGUGGAAUUCCCAGUGUAGCGGUGAAAUGCGUAGAUAUUGGGAAGAACACCAGUGGCGUAGCGACUAGCUGGGCCAUAACUGACGCUCAUGAACGAAAGCCACGGGAGCGAAUGGGAUUAGAUACCCCAGUAGUCCUGGCCGUAAACGAUGGAUACUAGGCGUAGUGGGUAUCGACCCCUACUGUGCCGCAACUAACGCGAUAAGUAUCCCGCCUGAGUAGUACGCCGCAAGGUUGAAACUCAAGGAAUUGACGG